GAAAAUGGACUGGACUAUUAAAGAGUGUGCCCCACAACUGCCACUCACUGAAAUACGAUUAAAGGUUACCAAAACUGGACGACUUGGGCGAAUGAGAAAACGAUUCAGAGGUUUUUGGAGGAAUUUGUGCUCAUGCACUCACAGCAGUGACAUAGAGCAUGAAA
Molecule: long non-coding RNA, 164 nt
Organism: Puntigrus tetrazona (Sumatra barb)
Lineage: Eukaryota; Metazoa; Chordata; Actinopteri; Cypriniformes; Cyprinidae
Exons: 3
Source: RefSeq, a predicted model, not a curated record